Molecule: small nuclear RNA, 163 nt
Organism: Phodopus roborovskii (desert hamster)
Lineage: Eukaryota; Metazoa; Chordata; Mammalia; Rodentia; Cricetidae
Product: U1 spliceosomal RNA
Exons: 1
Source: RefSeq, a predicted model, not a curated record
AUCCUUACCUGUCAGGGGCAAUACAAUCAUCAUGAAGGCAGUUUUCCCAGGGCGAGGCUUAUCCAUUGCACUCCUGAUGGACUGACUUCAGCGAUUUCCCCAAAUGUAGGAAACUCAACUGCAUAAUUUGUGGUAGUGGGGGACUUGUGUUCAUGAUCUCUCC